UCUCUGAGCCUCGUGACGUUCUUAUCGCUCAGGGAUUGCCAUAGAUGAACGAGUUUCGAGAGUAGACUAGCGACCUCGAAGGCUAACACUCCAAGCACAUCCUUCUCUUUAUGACCUUCGUUUUUCUUUGGGAAUUUCCAGAGGUUACGAAACCAAGUCUCUGAAACCAUCCUCUCUCUCUCUCAAGCUGAUGCGUGACAAUCAACAGUGUCUCUCCUACACAAUGAAUGAACAAUCUGUUAACCAAUACAAGUGAGGAAACGCAGAAUCAAUCAUUCACAUCAAAAGUGGAAUCAUCAAGAAAACAGCUCUUACGCACGUAAUAUGAAUCGAUUCUGCUGAAAGUGGGAGAAAUCUAGCUACAGAGCUAACGUUACGUAGAAUCGCCAAUCCUACCAACUCUCUCUCUCUCUCAAACUGCUGCGUUAUAAUCAACAGUGUCUCCUACACAAUGAAUGAACAAGAUCAGGAACAAUCUGUUAGCCAUUGAAACGCAUAAUCAAUCAUUCACACAAGUAAUUCACAUCAAAAACUCGAAAUCUCUAAGCUGAAAUCAUCAAGAAAACACCUCUUACGCAAGCAAUAGGAAUCGGAUUUGGCUGAAAUUGGAUUGAAAUCUAUGCUACAGAGCUCAAGUUACGCAGAAUCACCAAUCCUACCAUCCUCUCUCAAUACAAUCAACAGUGUCUCCUACACAACGAAUGAACAAUCUGUUAACCAAUGAAACGCAUAAUCAAUCAUUCACACAAGCGAUUCACAUCCAAAAACUGAAAUCUCGAGCUGAAAUCAGCUCUUACGCACGUAAAUAUGAAUCGAUUUAGCUGAAAUUAGGCGAAAACCUAAGCUACAGAGCUCGAGUUACGCAGAAUCGCCAAAUCAAAAUCACGAACAACCCGUUAACCAAUACGACUGAGGAAACGCAGAAUCAAUCAUUCACACAAACGAUUCACAUCAAAAAACUCGAAAUCUCGAGGUGGAAUCAUCAAGAAAACAGCUCUUACGCAAGCAAUAUGAAUCGAUUUAGCUGAGAUUGGAUGAAAUCAAGCUACUACGCAGAAUCGCCAAAUCCUACCAAAUCGAGUUUCUAAAUAAAUUCUCCAGCUGGAGUAUGUAAACACGGCCUCGCGAAAUCACUAUUCGAAUUGGAAUUGUCGGCGAAUCGAGAAACAGAUAUGGAAACAGAAGAGGCGUCUGCAAACGAGGAAGCGCGUAAGAGCGCGAGAGGAGAAGAAGAAAGCUUACCGAUUUUGGCACAUACGUAUAUGCAGCAGUAGUAUGUAUCAUCUCAACCACAAUAAAAUCUCGUAGAAACAAUAUACAAUGCAUCAUCACAUCCUACUACAAGUCAGAAUAGUAAAGGAGAUAAAGAGAAAAGAGACGCUCACAUCAUAAUACCUCUCGUGGUAAUCUAGCAACGUAACAGCUUUUCGUCCUCGGGUUUGGUCCAAGCUGCACGGUUUGGUUGAGUUCCAAUGCCAGUUUAGGUAAAAAAUAUAGUCUAGGAGAGCUUCAGUAGUUAUCCGUGUCUAAACAUUUCUCAAGUGUUUGACUACUAGUACACUCUUGAAGAGCCUUGGCGUUAAGCUCUCUGCCAUAUCUCCAGACAUAGUUGAGCCCGACAAGAAGCUCCGUGAUGAUGGUUUCUGUUUUCUGCUGGUUCGCAAAGAAGAGAGUCUGCGCGAGAACUAUGUGCGUCCUCGAAACCAAGCUCUGGUUCUCGUAACUCCUCUCGGACUGCCAUUUUAUCAUGUUGUGAGCUAACGGACCCAACCAUUCCAAGAUACCCGCCAUUGCGUCUGUCCACUCCUUCGCUAGCCCCGGAUCAUAAACCGCGGAAGAGCUCAAGUUUUUCGAGUACGGCUUUAGCCUCUCUCUCAACGAUUUUCUCACGCUCGCUGGUAACAUGUUGUAAAGGUCGUCUCUCGCAUCGUCGCCUAUCAAGUGGGGAGAUGCAACGAAUCUCUCUAUCACGAUGAUGACAUUAGCGUAGUGUAACGCUAAGCAAGCGGCGCCGAGGGUGUUAGGAGCAGCAUCUGACAACUUGGGUCUUUCAACGUGGACAGUGUUGGAACUUCCUUCGAGAAUCUGAUGAUGCUCUGCGCUACUAUGCCUAGCUCCGUUCUGGGUCCUAGUGCUGAGAGGAGUGAUACCGUCUUGAGACACCAUGCAGCCUUUAAAGGGACCAACCUGUGUUAAACGGUUGGGUUUUGACUGCUUUUUCGCUGAGGAGACCGAAGGCCUUUCCGGUGUCUGCACCACCGUCUUCUUGUUGUGUUUGCCCAUUCCCAUAAGCGGUCCUGACUUGGAUGUGAACUUCCCGAGAGGACCCGAGUAAAACUUGAAACGUUUGUUCUUUUCUGGGGCAAGAGGACCUGACUUAGGGGACUGGGUAGUGAGUGAGCCCGAGAGGAAAUCACCCAUCUUCGUGGACUUUGUAGCAGCUGAGCCUGACGCUGGACCUGUGAAUCUCCCAAGAGGACCAGAAGCAAAUCUAGGAGGACGGGUGGUCUCGGACUGAUGCGUCAAAACAGUGGAAACAGAGUGGCCGCGAGCGAUGAAAUCAGAAUCCGCAGAGCUAACAUCGCUAGCCUCUGCUCUGUAACUAAUGCCGAAAACAUGUUUAGUCCUAGUCAAGAUUGUGAAGAUCGAUCUCACCAAGAGAAGGACGGUGUAGUCAUAAGUACGGUUCCAAAGAGACACCUCCCUUAGAUUCUUCACUUCAUGUUUCUUCCACGUGACUUUUUUCCUGUACUCCACUAUAUUAUCGGUUGCAGAUUCAUUGCUCUGCCUUCUCUUGAGACUCUGCUCAAGCUCCGUCAGAAUCUCAGUCUCCUGGUAAAGACUAGCAUUAGACGAGAUAAAACGCUCCAUCCUCUUAACCUUUCUAUCCAUUUUCUUCCACCCAAACUGCCACCCAUAAGGAUCAGCUCCCGUCUUCAUCAUCUCACCGAAACAACUCUCGAAGCUCUUCAACUUGGGAUCGUUGCAUUUUACAGCGAGCCUAGCCACAGCUUUCGCUACGUUCUCAACGUUCUCCAUCAUCUCGUCGCGUAUCAGCCUCACGAUGAAGUCAUCGUCAUCUGAAACUAGCUUCUUUAUACCCGCGGAACGCGUGAUCUCUUCUCUGAGCCUCGUGACGUUCUUAUCGCUCAGGGAUUGCCAUAGAUGAACGAGUUUCGAGAGUAGACUAGCGACCUCGAAGGCUAACACUCCAAGCACAUCCUUCUCUUUAUGACCUUCGUUUUUCUUUGGGAAUUUCCAGAGGUUACGAAACCAAGUCUCUGAAACCAUCCUCUCUCUCUCUCAAGCUGAUGCGUGACAAUCAACAGUGUCUCUCCUACACAAUGAAUGAACAAUCUGUUAACCAAUACAAGUG
RNAcentral lists this long non-coding RNA (3376 nucleotides) under Brassica napus (rape). RNAcentral's name for it is "long non-coding RNA (BNAP_LNC001040)". Lineage: Eukaryota; Viridiplantae; Streptophyta; Magnoliopsida; Brassicales; Brassicaceae. The record is from RNAcentral.